Molecule: ribosomal RNA, 303 nt
Filed under: uncultured bacterium
Lineage: Bacteria
Description: partial 16S ribosomal RNA
Rfam family: Bacterial small subunit ribosomal RNA
Source: RNAcentral
AGCAGUCGCCGCGGUAAUACGUAGGUCCCGAGCGUUGUCCGGAUUUAUUGGGCGUAAAGCGAGCGCAGGCGGUUAGAUAAGUCUGAAGUUAAAGGCUGUGGCUUAACCAUAGUAUGCUUUGGAAACUGUUUAACUUGAGUGCAGAAGGGGAGAGUGGAAUUCCAUGUGUAGCGGUGAAAUGCGUAGAUAUAUGGAGGAACACCGGUGGCGAAAGCGGCUCUCUGGCUUGUAACUGACGCUGAGGCUCGAAAGCGUGGGGAGCAAACAGGAUUAGAUACCCCAGUAGUCCCUGUCUCUUAUACA